CCUGAAUACAUAGGGUAAGGAAGACAGACCCAGGGAACUGAAACAUCUAAGUACCUGGAGGAAGAGAAAGCAAAUGCGAUUUCCUGAGUAGCGGCGAGCGAAACGGAACAUAGCCCAAACCAAGAGGCUUGCCUCUUGGGGUUGUAGGACAUUCUAUACGGAGUUACAAAGGAACGAGGUAGACGAAGCGACCUGGAAAGGUCCGUCGUAGAGGGUAACAACCCCGUAGUCGAAACUUCGUUCUCUCUUGAAUGUAUCCUGAGUACGGCGGAACACGUGAAAUUCCGUCGGAAUCUGGGAGGACCAUCUCCCAAGGCUAAAUACUCCCUAGUGAUCGAUAGUGAACCAGUACCGUGAGGGAAAGGUGAAAAGCACCCCGGAAGGGGAGUGAAAGAGAUCCUGAAACCGUGUGCCUACAAAUAGUCAGAGCCCGUUAAUGGGUGAUGGCGUGCCUUUUGUAGAAUGAACCGGCGAGUUACGAUCCCGUGCGAGGUUAAGCUGAAGAGGCGGAGCCGCAGCGAAAGCGAGUCUGAAUAGGGCGUUUAGUACGUGGUCGUAGACCCGAAACCAGGUGAUCUACCCAUGUCCAGGGUGAAGUUCAGGUAACACUGAAUGGAGGCCCGAACCCACGCACGUUGAAAAGUGCGGGGAUGAGGUGUGGGUAGCGGAGAAAUUCCAAUCGAACCUGGAGAUAGCUGGUUCUCCCCGAAAUAGCUUUAGGGCUAGCCUUAAGUGUAAGAGUCUUGGAGGUAGAGCACUGAUUGAACUAGGGGUCCUCAUCGGAUUACCGAAUUCAGUCAAACUCCGAAUGCCAAUGACUUAUCCUUAGGAGUCAGACUGCGAGUGAUAAGAUCCGUAGUCAAGAGGGAAACAGCCCAGAUCGCCAGCUAAGGUCCCAAAGUGUGUAUUAAGUGGAAAAGGAUGUGGAGUUGCUUAGACAACUAGGAUGUUGGCUUAGAAGCAGCCACCAUUUAAAGAGUGCGUAAUAGCUCACUAGUCGAGUGACUCUGCGCCGAAAAUGUACCGGGGCUAAAUACACCACCGAAGCUGCGAAUUGAUACCAAUGGUAUCAGUGGUAGGGGAGCGUUCUAAGUGCAGUGAAGUCAGACCGGAAGGACUGGUGGAGCGCUUAGAAGUGAGAAUGCCGGUAUGAGUAGCGAAAGACGGG
This 1168-nucleotide ribosomal RNA is filed under the name Bacillus cereus group sp. N6. RNAcentral's name for it is "partial 23S ribosomal RNA". It matches the Rfam family "Bacterial large subunit ribosomal RNA", at positions 157 to 1321 of the family's 2925-position model. The record is from RNAcentral. Lineage: Bacteria; Bacillati; Bacillota; Bacilli; Caryophanales; Bacillaceae.